UUUGACCAGACAUAUUUCUCAAUACGGAAAAAAUAAACCAACGCAAUUGAAAACAAAGUAGAUAUAGAAAUUGAAAUCCACCUCUUGCAAGGUUUUAACUUUUUCAUGAUUAUUUUCACUAGAUAUGUCUAUUUUGGAAAAGUUGUGCCAUUUUUUAAUAGAAAAUAAAUUCAACUUGGGUUGUGUAAGGGAGGAUCUAAUUAGUUUAAAUAAAGAUAUUGCAACUCAGUUUUGUCAUCAUUAAUGGAAAAAAGGAGACCUAUACCCUACUUUUAUCAGUUUUUCUAUGUUUGAAGAGAUUCAAGAGAAGCAUAUUGAAAAAAAAUUCCCCUUCUUCCUGAUUAGAUCAUGACCUGGUUGCACUGUAUUACUAUAAUAUUAUUCCUACGGCACAUUACCAAGUCAUAAUUCUCAAUCUUCAAUCAUAAACUCCAUCAACAAAUAAAAACAUUGUUUUAAAACACUACUGUCUUCACUCCACAGACAACCCACCUUAACGACUUUGCAACACAUUCAUUACAUAUUACUAUUGGACAAAGCAGUGAUAUUUACCAUCGGCAUACUAAAUAUUACUUGACAUUCAUGCAUUAUUCAUUGCGGGGGCUACUGAUUGAUGUAAUGGUAAAGGCAUGGUUUCACAAGUGCAGCAGUACAGUUUUAAGUUCUAGAAAAGCCAUUUUUGGCAAAAAAAAAAGGGCCAAAGAUUAGGUUUAUCCCCAGUCUACCCUUCCCAGGACCCCCAUUGUCAGGACCAUAAUUGGGUAAUGGCCUUCUUUAUGCAUUAUUUAUUGGAAAAUAACUUCUUAGAUUUCUCUUUAAAUUUAUUAUUAUUGCGCAAUUUGACCCCUGGUACACACCUAGUGUCCCCUACUACCUAUUAAUCCAUACAAUCUUAUAAUACAAUACAUAUAAGGAGAUUUAUUACCUUUUGACCCUUCACAACAACAUCAAUAUCCCUUAUCCCUAAGUAUUUAUAGCUACCUAA
RNAcentral lists this long non-coding RNA (985 nucleotides) under Phoenix dactylifera (date palm). Its description in RNAcentral is "long non-coding RNA (PDAC_LNC016291)". Lineage: Eukaryota; Viridiplantae; Streptophyta; Magnoliopsida; Arecales; Arecaceae. The record is from RNAcentral.